AAACAAAUCUCAUCUCAAAUUAAUAUUAUUAAAGCCACAAAUUAUUACUUUACAUAAAUACUUCGGUCUGCCAGAAAAACUAGGCGAGACCUAAAACUCAGAAAAUUUACAACUGAUACAUCUACUAAUUACUACUGCGGAGAAUCUAAGAUUUACCAAUUUACAUACCAAAUCAAAUACAUCACCCGAUGAUGAAGGAGUCGGGUUACUGAAUAAGAGUCGCGGGAGGACUAACAGUCAUGAAUAUGAAAAACAGUAAAAAUGAGACUGUCAGUCUCGAGAGUGAGUUGAAAUCAUAUAUCUAAAACAGUUUCAAACAUUUCAAUAUCACAUUCAUUUAAUUUUAAAAAUAAUUAAUAAAUCACGCGAACCAUACGUGUCAUGUUAAGACAUAUGUGUCAUGCCAUACUUAAACAAAAAUUAUUCCAUAUGCAACGGGACGGAGUACUUCAGUAUAACCCUAAUCCCAACUCUAACAUCUCGAUUUAUUUCAACACUUAUGUCUCAACUAACCUCAACUCUAACAUCUCAAACCUCUCAUUCCAACAAGACUGGCGCCUAGAGAGCAAAGCUCGACCAGGGACCUUACCUCCAGUCCAGUCACUUAACUCUCAGCCUUAGCCUUUCGGCUUUCUUAUCCAAUAAGACUGGCGCCCAGAGAGCAUAGCUCGACCAGGGACCUUACCUCCAGUCUGGUCACUUAAAUUUCCAAAUAAGCCGGUGCCCAGAGAGCAAUGCUCGACCAGGGACCUUUACUCCGGCAACCACACUCUACUAAGCCCAGAGAGCGAUGCUCGACCAGGGCAGGUCCUAAUCUUUCUUUCUCAAAAUUUAUACCUCUUUACCCUUUUCCUAUCUCUAUCAUAUUAUAUUGGAACACUCAUCCAACUCCUAUGUUCUACUGCCGUCCCAUCCUGAGUCAUCAUACAAUAUUAAAAUUUGUGAUAAAGGAAAAACAUAUUUAUAUAGUAAUUAAAAGCAUCAUGAAAAUAAUGAUAAUAAUUAAAUGAAAAAUUAAAAUUGCAAAUGAAUAAUCACAGUAGCAAAUCAAAUUUUAUGCAUGACAUGUGCAUAAGCGAUAUAUGACUUUAACUCACAGAAUUGGGCGACCUCCUAGCUCUGCUCCGGUGCCUCAGUUGGAGCGAGCCGAACAGACAGAUCAUCUAAUCACGGAAAACAAUUUAUCAAAACGAUGAAACAAUUACAAUAGAUCCUAGGUCUAGAUUCCUAGGACUCACUGUCUAAGAAUCUCGACUCAGGAACUACCGAAAAUUCAGCAGAACCUCCCCUACAACACGAACAUUACCCCCCGUAAAAACGGGUCCAGGACCUGCUAGAAAAACACUCCAAAUGUCCAACACUUUAAACAAUGGGAGUCGGGUCCCUAAACUUCACUAUUUCCCCACUCCGCCACACAGCACAAAAACACGACUAUGGCAGGCAAACUGACAAACAAUUAUUUAUGACUCACAAAUAUCAUCAAAUACUCAAUAUAACCCAAUAAACACAAAUUUAAAAUCAAAGGAUUUCUAAGAUCAACGGCCAGAGAAAAUUACCGAGACGCUCGAUCGCUCGGUCGACUAGCCUCCGGCCGCCGGAGUCCGAUCGACGAUCCGAACACACCAUCGGACUCACAACGACGCGCUGAUGACGAUCCCCGCUUUCGAUUUUUCGAUCUGACACCCGAUCAUCCUGAGAGAUUUGCGGACGAUCUCGACCGUCGAUUCGCAAACGAAGCCCGAUCGCCACGAAACCAGUGCCAUCGAGAAGCUUGAGCUGAGGAGAGUCGGGAUACGUCCUUCGAUCGUCCAUCCUCCGCCGGAGCUCGCCGGAAAAACCAGAAAACACGGCUGCCACCACUUCGCCAGAACUCUCUCCUCCGGCCACCAAAACCGACGCCGCUGCCGCCAAAAGGAAGCUCUCUCCAAGGGGAGCUGAUUGCCACCAAGAUCGGCCGGAAAGGCCGCCGGAAACGGCCGGAACGACGCUCGGAAGCCGCUGCCACACGUCGCGCGAUUCCGCCGCCUGCCGACGCUGCCAGCUGCCUCCACCGCCACCAUCGUGCUCGCCGUUGCCGCCCGCUCCUUCCAACGUCAACACCGCCCUCGGCCUGGCCUCCAGCGUCCGUCCCCCAUGGACGCCGACGGCUCUCUCUCUCCUCCCUUUCUUCUUCUUCCUUCUUUCUUUUCUCUCUCCCCGAUUUCCAUUCCUUUCAAUAUCGACAUUAGGCCCCCGAACUUUUCCUUAUUGCAAUUUGAUCCCUCAACUUUCUUAAUUACUUACAACUUCAUCCUGCAAAAUUCCAAUUUGACCCCCAAACUUCUUUUUAGCCUUUCAAUUAAGCCCUUAACUAAUUAAUUUGGGCUAAAUUAGAAUUACUGAAAAUACACAAUUACAAAAAUCCCCUGACCGACAUAUUUAUUUACGAAAAUACCAAACUCACAAAUUUCCAUUAAAACCCCAUAAAAAUAAAAUUAUACUUUUAAUCCUUAUUCCAAAAUAAAUUUCCAAUUUAGUCCUAACACACAAUUAAAUUAAAUUAAAUAAUCAAUUUCCAACUUAAAAUUUAAUACUACUAAUCAAUUAUAAUACAAAUUUUUUUCUAAAAUUCUUUUAUAAAAACAUCCCUUACAAUUUCUACCAUAAUUUUCCAAUAUAUAAUUUUACUUAUAUAAAUAUGCAUUUGGAAAAAUUUUGAAUAACUAAAUAAAAAAUAUAAUUUAUUCCUCAAAUAAUUUAUUUAAUUAACUCUUUAAAAAUCAAACUAAUUGGAUAUGGAAAAAUAAUUCAUUAUUAAACAUAUAAAAAUUCGGGGUAUUACAUUCUCCCCCCCUAAAAAAAUAAAUUUGUCCUCGAAUUUUAAGAGAAAAGGGGGCUUCACUCUAAGACUGAAACUAAUUAGGAACCUCUCAUCUCCAACUCGGCUUCUCGGGAACUUUCCUCGGCAAAAACAAACCACAAGACUCAUCGACAAAACCCUCAAAUAAAACUGGCGAACCUGGAAAUUCGCGAUCCUCACUUACUACUCCUCGGAAACUAAAUCUUUACUUACAUUCACACACUGAGGAUCCAACACGAGCAAAGGAUCGAAAAUACACUUCUUGAACUCAGACUUACAAACAACUGGAUUUGACCUCAGAGAACAUUACUUGGCGGCAAGUCCAACUUACAUGCCACCUCACCAACCUGCUGACAAAACCAAGGGUCUCCACACAAGAAGGGCCAAUUCUGAUCCUGCCAAAAAUCCACUCACCAAAUUUCCUUCCUAAUGACGUUUCCCUUACACACGCAGAAAAUUCUUAACAUCCACAUCACAUCAUCAACGACAUAACAUCCAUCUGAUCGCAUCAACCGAUACAACUAUGCCAUCCUGACACAAGAUUCCUCUUUGACUAAAAUUCAAAAGCGUCCUAUAUUAUCUAACAUGAGGCCUACUACGCCACAGAUUCAUUCCCAGCAACUCAACUCGUCAUCCAGAGAAUUCUCAAGCUAACACUAUUUACCUUGAAAAUUUUACUUAUUUAUUUACUUUAUAAUCAUCACUGAUAAAAGCUUUAUUAUCUUGGAAAAAAUACUUUUAUAAAAUCGUAAAAUCUCUAGUCAUUUUUCUUUAUAUAAAAUUCUACAAUAUCGCACGCCAGGGUGAUGAUGCCCCCUAUCACCAAGGGUUGCAAUGCACGAUGUAUGAUGCAUGUCCUAAAAUGAAUUUAUGCAUGCCUAACAGUGAAAUGCCAUAAUGCAUUCUUACGGGACUGGGCGUAAUAUUGUAUUUUAAAACACUUGUUCUACUUAGAAAAAUAAAUAAUGUUCGCUUAAGUUUCUCUGGAUUCCGAGCAUCCGAAAAUACUCCUGCCACCUUUCUUAAGCUUCUUACAACCACAAAACUCAACCAUAAAGCUCUGAUAUCUACUCGACUUCCCAGGCACUAACUUCGGCGCUACUUAAUAAGACGAUGCCUGAUGCGAUGACGAGGAAGUCCAUGACACGACUGCAACCACGCUCUACACUAAAACUGACUGCGGUGCCCACCAUCGAAACCAAAAUCAAAGCUUCUAAAGGCGGACUGCACUAAUCACUUGAAGAAACAGCACGAGUCUAUCGCGCUUCGGAUCCUCCCAUCGCUACAAAGCACAUUCUCAGUACAGCACCAAGGACAAGCUUAUAAGAAAGGAAAGACUGACUCUCUAACAGUGAAGGCUGAGACACUAGAGUCAAUGAAAACAAUAAGACAGACAUGAUCCUAACUCCGCAGUACCAAGAAAAAUCUUAACUUAGGUCGAAGGAAAUCUAAACCUAAGCUCUGAUACCAAUUUUGUCACGACCCCACCCUUGGGCCCAUGACCGACACUAGGGAAUGGGUAGGCUUAAGGCCACCGAAACCCGUAGUAAGCCUGACACUCACUGAUUUAAACAAAUCUCAUCUCAAAUUAAUAUUAUUAAAGCCACAAAUUAUCUUAAAUGCUACACUUUACAUAAAUACUUCGGUCUACCAGAAAAACUAGGCGAGACCUGAAACUCAGAAAAUUUACAACUGAUACAUCUACUAAUUACUACUGCGGAGAAUCUAAGAUUUACCAAUUUACAUACCAAAUCAAAUACAUCACCCGAUGAUGAAGGAGUCGGGUUACUAAAUAAGAGUCGCGGGAGGACUAACAGUCACGAAUCUGAAAAACAGUAAAAAUGAGACUGUCAGUCUCGAGAGUGAGUUAAAAUCAUAUAUCUAAAACAGUUUCAAACAUUUCAAUAUCACAUUCAUUUAAUUUUAAAAAUAAUUAAUAAAUCACGCGAACCAUACGUGUCAUGUUAAGACAUAUGUGUCAUGCCAUGCUUAAACAAAAAUUAUUCCACAUGCAACGGGACGGAGUACUUCAGUAUAACCCUAAUCCCAACUCUAACAUCUCGAUUUAUUUCAACACUUAUGUCUCAACUAACCUCAACUCUAACAUCUCAAACCUCUCAUUCCAACAGGACUGGCGCCCAGAGAGCAAAGCUCGACCAGGGACCUUACCUCCAGUCCGGUCACUUAACUCUCAGCCUUAGCCUUUCGGCUCUCUUAUCCAAUAAGACUGGCGCCCAGAGAGCAUAGCUCGACCAGGGACCUUACCUCCAGUCUGGUCACUUAAAUUUCCAAAUAAGCCGGCGCCCAGAGAGCAAUGCUCGACCAGGGCAGGUCCUAAUCUUUCUUUCUCAAAAUUUAUACCUCUUUACCCUUUUCCUAUCUCUAUCAUAUUAUAUUGGAACACUCAUCCAACUCCUAUGUUCUACUGCCGUCCCAUCCUGAGUCAUCAUGCAAUAUUAAAAUUGGUGAUAAAGGAAAAACAUAUUUAUAUAGUAAUUAAAAGCAUCAUGAAAAUAAU
This 5357-nucleotide long non-coding RNA is filed under the name Ricinus communis (castor bean). RNAcentral's name for it is "long non-coding RNA (RCOM_LNC002744)". The record is from RNAcentral. Lineage: Eukaryota; Viridiplantae; Streptophyta; Magnoliopsida; Malpighiales; Euphorbiaceae.